Pichia kudriavzevii is the source of this 72-nucleotide non-coding RNA. Lineage: Eukaryota; Fungi; Ascomycota; Pichiomycetes; Pichiales; Pichiaceae. The record is from Rfam.
GGGUCAAUGGUCUAGUGGUAUGAUUCUCGCUUUGGGAGCGAGAGGCCCUGGGUUCAAUUCCCAGUUGACCCC